CACACCAUGGGAGUCGGGAAUGCCCGAAGUCAGUGACCCAACCGAAAGGGGGAGCUGCCGAAGGCAGGCCUGGUAACUGGGGUGAAGUCGUAACAAGGUAAC
Molecule: ribosomal RNA, 102 nt
Filed under: uncultured bacterium
Lineage: Bacteria
Description: partial 16S ribosomal RNA
Rfam family: Bacterial small subunit ribosomal RNA
Source: RNAcentral